UUAAAUUGAAGAGUUUGAUCAUGGCUCAGAUUGAACGCUGGCGGCAGGCCUAACACAUGCAAGUCGAACGGUAACAGGAAGCAGCUUGCUGCUUUGCUGACGAGUGGCGGACGGGUGAGUAAUGUCUGGGAAACUGCCUGAUGGAGGGGGAUAACUACUGGAAACGGUGGCUAAUACCGCAUAACGUCGCAAGACCAAAGAGGGGGACCUUCGGGCCUCUUGCCAUCAGAUGUGCCCAGAUGGGAUUAGCUUGUUGGUGAGGUAACGGCUCACCAAGGCGACGAUCCCUAGCUGGUCUGAGAGGAUGACCAGCCACACUGGAACUGAGACACGGUCCAGACUCCUACGGGAGGCAGCAGUGGGGAAUAUUGCACAAUGGGCGCAAGCCUGAUGCAGCCAUGCCGCGUGUAUGAAGAAGGCCUUCGGGUUGUAAAGUACUUUCAGCGGGGAGGAAGGUGUUGUGGUUAAUAACCGCAGCAAUUGACGUUACCCGCAGAAGAAGCACCGGCUAACUCCGUGCCAGCAGCCGCGGUAAUACGGAGGGUGCAAGCGUUAAUCGGAAUUACUGGGCGUAAAGCGCACGCAGGCGGUCUGUCAAGUCGGAUGUGAAAUCCCCGGGCUCAACCUGGGAACUGCAUUCGAAACUGGCAGGCUUGAGUCUUGUAGAGGGGGGUAGAAUUCCAGGUGUAGCGGUGAAAUGCGUAGAGAUCUGGAGGAAUACCGGUGGCGAAGGCGGCCCCCUGGACAAAGACUGACGCUCAGGUGCGAAAGCGUGGGGAGCAAACAGGAUUAGAUACCCUGGUAGUCCACGCCGUAAACGAUGUCUACUUGGAGGUUGUGCCCUUGAGGCGUGGCUUCCGGAGCUAACGCGUUAAGUAGACCGCCUGGGGAGUACGGCCGCAAGGUUAAAACUCAAAUGAAUUGACGGGGGCCCGCACAAGCGGUGGAGCAUGUGGUUUAAUUCGAUGCAACGCGAAGAACCUUACCUGGUCUUGACAUCCACGGAAGUUUUCAGAGAUGAGAAUGUGCCUUCGGGAACCGUGAGACAGGUGCUGCAUGGCUGUCGUCAGCUCGUGUUGUGAAAUGUUGGGUUAAGUCCCGCAACGAGCGCAACCCUUAUCCUUUGUUGCCAGCGAUUAGGUCGGGAACUCAAAGGAGACUGCCAGUGAUAAACUGGAGGAAGGUGGGGAUGACGUCAAGUCAUCAUGGCCCUUACGACCAGGGCUACACACGUGCUACAAUGGCGCAUACAAAGAGAAGCGACCUCGCGAGAGCAAGCGGACCUCAUAAAGUGCGUCGUAGUCCGGAUUGGAGUCUGCAACUCGACUCCAUGAAGUCGGAAUCGCUAGUAAUCGUGGAUCAGAAUGCCACGGUGAAUACGUUCCCGGGCCUUGUACACACCGCCCGUCACACCAUGGGAGUGGGUUGCAAAAGAAGUAGGUAGCUUAACCUUCGGGAGGGCGCUUACCACUUUGUGAUUCAUGACUGGGGUGAAGUCGUAACAAGGUAACCGUAGGGGAACCUGCGGUUGGAUCACCUCCUUACC
This 1546-nucleotide ribosomal RNA is filed under the name Salmonella enterica subsp. enterica serovar Tennessee. RNAcentral describes it as "bacterial SSU rRNA". It matches the Rfam family "Bacterial small subunit ribosomal RNA". Lineage: Bacteria; Pseudomonadati; Pseudomonadota; Gammaproteobacteria; Enterobacterales; Enterobacteriaceae. The record is from RNAcentral.